GCUUCACUCUGCCGGGGUUUCAUAUCACAGAGAGAGUGUAUUUGUUUGUGCGCAUGUGUGUGUGUGUGUGUGUGUUUGAGAGAGAGAGAGAGGGAGAGAAGUGAGCUCUGGUGUGAGGUUCCCAAUGUUAAUCCAAGUCUCUGCCAACAAUGAGUCUGUCCUUUCUCACCGUCUCUCUGAUCGCCAUCCUCUGGCCCUGCUGGGGGACAGCCGAGCUGAUCUAUCAGUGGCCUCCGAGGACGGUGGUGAGAGAGAGCGACUCUGUGCUAUUGGGUUGUCACCAGAAUGACAGCAGUAAAGAUGUAAUGCUCUGGUACCAGCAGAGAGAUGGAGAGGGCCUGAGACUGAUCGGCUUUACCUACUAUCCGAGCCCACCGACUAUGGAGAAGGACGAGCAGAGUAAUUUUGAGAUCAUAUCGCAAGGUCAGACAACAUCUCGGCUGAACAUCUCAAUGGCAAUGAAGGAUAUCAUAACGCCAUAGAGAACACUUUUACAGACUAGGAGGAGAUAGG
Molecule: non-coding RNA, 513 nt
Organism: Callorhinchus milii (elephant shark)
Lineage: Eukaryota; Metazoa; Chordata; Chondrichthyes; Chimaeriformes; Callorhinchidae
Source: the annotation of a RefSeq genome assembly